AAUGGCACAUCAGUCUCUUUACCUUCUCUUCCUCGUUGUCUUAUCAUCAAUCAGCAGCCAUGUAAUUCAAGUUGAGGGUCGCCAUCUUUUGGACGCAACUUUGCCAGAUCUCCCCAUUGGCCUCCCGAAACCCGAGCUACCAACAUUACCUAUGCCCAAUCUUCCACUGCCGCAGCCUGGAUUGCCCACAUUACCUAUGCCCAAUCUUCCACUGCCACAGCCUGGAUUGCCCACAUUACCUAUGCCUAAUCUUCCUCUGCCACAACUUCCAAACCCUCAGCUGCCACCUUUGCCCAAACCGGAGUUGCCAUUACCUAUGCCAGAACUUCCCAAACCUCAGCUACCUCUGCCACAGUUGCCAAUACCAUCGCCACCUCUGCCAAGCCCUUAAGUACUAAAGUUCCUUCAAUGAAGGGAAGUGUACUACGUGCUAUCCAGGAUGACUCAUUUGUAUCAUUAUUGUCGUAUUUGUUAACCUCCUCAUGUUAAUGUUGUUAAAACUUUUGUAUGUAACUCUCUUGUUAGU
This 526-nucleotide long non-coding RNA is filed under the name Solanum tuberosum (potato). RNAcentral's name for it is "long non-coding RNA (STUB_LNC006304)". The record is from RNAcentral. Lineage: Eukaryota; Viridiplantae; Streptophyta; Magnoliopsida; Solanales; Solanaceae.